GACGAACGCUGGCGGCGUGCUUAACACAUGCAAGUCGAGCGGUAAGGCCCUUUCGGGGGUACGACGAGCGGCGAACGGGUAGAGUAACACGUGGGUGACCUGCCCUCAGCUCUGGGAUAAGCCCGGGAAACUGGGUCUAAUACCGGAUAUGACUCCAUGACGCAUGUUGUGGGGUGGGAAAGCCUUGUGCGGCUGAGGAUGGGCCCGCGGCCUAUCAGCUUGUUGGUGGGGUGAUGGCCACCAAGGCGACGACGGGUAGCCGGCCUGAGAGGGCGACCGGCCACACUGGGACUGAGAUACGGCCCAGACUCCUACGGGAGGCAGCAGUGGGGAAUCUUGCGCAAUGGGCGAAAGCCUGACGCAGCGACGCCGCGUGAGGGAUGAC
This 385-nucleotide ribosomal RNA is filed under the name uncultured bacterium. RNAcentral's name for it is "bacterial SSU rRNA". It matches the Rfam family "Bacterial small subunit ribosomal RNA", at positions 28 to 412 of the family's 1533-position model. The record is from RNAcentral.